GGUUGCGAUCAUACCAGCACUAAUGCACCGGAUCCCUUCUCCGCAGUUAAGCGUGCUUGGGCGAGAAUAGUACUAGGAUGGGUGACCCCCUGGGAAGUCCUCGUGUUGCAACCC
RNAcentral lists this ribosomal RNA (114 nucleotides) under Helianthus annuus (common sunflower). Lineage: Eukaryota; Viridiplantae; Streptophyta; Magnoliopsida; Asterales; Asteraceae. The record is from RNAcentral.